GCAGCAGUGGGGAAUCUUGCACAAUGGGGGAAACCCUGAUGCAGCGACGCCGCGUGAGCGAUGAAGCCCUUCGGGGUGUAAAGCUCUUUCGGCAGGGACGAUAAUGACGGUACCUGAAGAAGAAGCUGCGGCUAACUACGUGCCAGCAGCCGCGGUAAUACGUAGGCAGCGAGCGUUGUUCGGAGUUACUGGGCGUAAAGAGUGCGUAGGCGGUGGCCCAAGUCUGGUGUGAAAUCUCCCGGCUCAACCGGGAGGGUGCGCCGGAAACUGGGUUGCUUGAGUACUGGAGAGGCAAGCGGAAUUCCUGGUGUAGCGGUGAAAUGCGUAGAUAUCAGGAGGAACACCCGUGGUGUAGACGGCUUGCUGGACAGUCACUGACGCUGAGGCACGAAAGCGUGGGGAGCAAACAGGAUUAGAUAC
This 420-nucleotide ribosomal RNA is filed under the name uncultured Bryobacter sp. Its description in RNAcentral is "bacterial SSU rRNA". It matches the Rfam family "Bacterial small subunit ribosomal RNA", at positions 348 to 785 of the family's 1533-position model. The record is from RNAcentral. Lineage: Bacteria; Pseudomonadati; Acidobacteriota; Terriglobia; Bryobacterales; Bryobacteraceae.